RNAcentral lists this long non-coding RNA (445 nucleotides) under Cavia porcellus (domestic guinea pig). Its description in RNAcentral is "lncRNA (ENSCPOG00000038692.1)". The record is from RNAcentral. Lineage: Eukaryota; Metazoa; Chordata; Mammalia; Rodentia; Caviidae.
AUGCCUGCCCAUCUUGGGGAAAGGAGACCAGUGGAAGUCUCUUUUUUGCGAAAGGACUUCACCUCUGAGUCCAUGCAGCUGACGUGGACUUUACUUAGCCUACAGUACCAGGGAUUGAACUCAGGACUGUCUGCUUGCAAGGCAGGUACUUAUGCCGCUGAGCUAAAUCCCCAGCCCCUUAUGUCCUGCUUUUCCACGUGUGUUUUUUAUUAUUAUUUAAAGGUAUUAAUGUUCACAUUAAGAAUACAGACACUUUGUCAAAUGCAUUGUGAAUUAUCCCUCUUAUCAUUUGCCUCUUACUUGUUUCUAGGCUUUUCAUUUUCAAGAGUCUGAAAAUGUGAAUUAACUUUGUCUAAUGUUUGAAUUGCUGACACCGACACUUUUUCUAAAGGCCUCUAGUUGUUUGUGCAUUAAAAAGAAAGAAAAGGAGAGAAUUAAAAGGAAA